This 258-nucleotide ribosomal RNA is filed under the name uncultured bacterium. Its description in RNAcentral is "partial 16S ribosomal RNA". It matches the Rfam family "Bacterial small subunit ribosomal RNA", at positions 795 to 1052 of the family's 1533-position model. The record is from RNAcentral.
CCACGCUGUAAACGAUGUCGAUUUAGAGGUUGUGGUCUUGAACCGUGGCUUCUGGAGCUAACGCGUUAAAUCGACCGCCUGGGGAGUACGGCCGCAAGGUUAAAACUCAAAUGAAUUGACGGGGGCCCGCACAAGCGGUGGAGCAUGUGGUUUAAUUCGAUGCAACGCGAAGAACCUUACCUACUCUUGACAUCCAGCGAAUCCUUUAGAGAUAGAGGAGUGCCUUCGGGAACGCUGAGACAGGUGCUGCAUGGCUGU